Molecule: non-coding RNA, 30 nt
Filed under: Mus musculus (house mouse)
Lineage: Eukaryota; Metazoa; Chordata; Mammalia; Rodentia; Muridae
Also listed under: 1 other name
Source: RNAcentral
UUGAAGUUUCAGGGACAUCAACUAGAAGCC